GUACAACAGAGGCAGCCAAUGGCGUAGGACGAUCCGGUUGUGUCUGCACAGUGGCUGCAGCAGCACCUAGGCCAGCCCGACAUCAAGAUACUUGAUGCUUCCUGGUACAUGCCACACGAGAACAGGGACGCAUGGCAAGAAUACCAGGUUUCUUUAUGGGUCUUCUUUGCUAUAAACUCUUCACCCCUUUUGUGCCAAUGUUUCUCCCGGUUAAGAUGUUCAGAUAUGCUCAGGUGGAAAAUCAAGGAAGAGCAUAUCCAUGUUUACUUAUUAGUUUGAUCUGCCCUUGUUGUGUCAUCUCUGAUUCAGUUGCUAUUGAGUUUGUGUUGUUAUCUUAAAAGAAUAUUUUUCUCACUUAUGAUGACUAGAUAACUGCCUGCAUACUUUGGGGAGUAUGGAUGACUGUCAUUUU
Hordeum vulgare subsp. vulgare (domesticated barley) is the source of this 412-nucleotide long non-coding RNA. RefSeq lists it as uncharacterized. The transcript is spliced from 2 exons. Lineage: Eukaryota; Viridiplantae; Streptophyta; Magnoliopsida; Poales; Poaceae. The record is from RefSeq and is a predicted model, not a curated record.